CACUUUCCAGCAGAUGUGGAUUGCCAAGGCAGAAUAUGAUGAGUCCGGGCCAUCAAUUGUGCAUCGGAAGUGCUUCUAAAUGUUUUGAGAAUAGGAUUGUUGAAGAAAGAGGGUCCAAAAAAAGAAAACUACUGUUAUGUUUCCUGGGAAAGAAGUGGACAGCUUGCCCACUUUGUUCAAUUUAGCUUUGUUGUCCUUCUAUGUUUAUUAUGAUGUUGGAGUGAUAAUUUUGAGAAGGCAAGGAGUUGAUUGCCAAAAUGGUCCUUUCCACAAUUCUUU
This 279-nucleotide unclassified non-coding RNA is filed under the name Hevea brasiliensis (rubber tree). Lineage: Eukaryota; Viridiplantae; Streptophyta; Magnoliopsida; Malpighiales; Euphorbiaceae. The record is from RNAcentral.